UGCAGUCGAACGGUAGCACAGAGAGCUUGCUCUCGGGUGACGAGUGGCGGACGGGUGAGUAAUGUCUGGGAAACUGCCCGAUGGAGGGGGAUAACUACUGGAAACGGUAGCUAAUACCGCAUAACGUCGCAAGACCAAAGAGGGGGACCUUCGGGCCUCUUGCCAUCGGAUGUGCCCAGAUGGGAUUAGCUUGUAGGUGAGGUAACGGCUCACCUAGGCGACGAUCCCUAGCUGGUCUGAGAGGAUGACCAGCCACACUGGAACUGAGACACGGUCCAGACUCCUACGGGAGGCAGCAGUGGGGAAUAUUGCACAAUGGGCGCAAGCCUGAUGCAGCCAUGCCGCGUGUAUGAAGAAGGCCUUCGGGUUGUAAAGUACUUUCAGCGGGGAGGAAGGGAGUGAGGUUAAUAACCUUAUUCAUUGACGUUACCCGCAGAAGAAGCACCGGCUAACUCCGUGCCAGCAGCCGCGGUAAUACGGAGGGUGCAAGCGUUAAUCGGAAUUACUGGGCGUAAAGCGCACGCAGGCGGUCUGUCAAGUCGGAUGUGAAAUCCCCGGGCUCAACCUGGGAACUGCAUUCGAAACUGGCAGGCUGGAGUCUUGUAGAGGGGGGUAGAAUUCCAGGUGUAGCGGUGAAAUGCGUAGAGAUCUGGAGGAAUACCGGUGGCGAANGCGGCCCCCUGGACAAAGACUGACGCUCANGUGCGAAAGCGUGGGGAGCNNNAGGAUUAGAUACCCUGGUAGUCCACGCUGUAAACGAUGUCGACUUGGANGUUGUUCCCUUGAGGAGUGGCUUCCGGAGCUAACGCGUUAAGUCGACCGCCUGGGGAGUANGGCCGCANGGUUAAAACUCAAAUGAAUUGANGGGGCCCGCACAAGCGGUGGANCAUGUGGUUUAAUUCGAUGCAACGCGAAGAANCUUACCUACUCNUGACAUCCANNGAANUNNNCAGAGAUGCUUUNGNUGCCUUCGGGAACUNNNANNNANGNNCUGCAUGGCUGNCGUCAGCUCGUGNUGUGAAAUGUUGGG
This 1030-nucleotide ribosomal RNA is filed under the name Klebsiella sp. RNAcentral describes it as "partial 16S ribosomal RNA". It matches the Rfam family "Bacterial small subunit ribosomal RNA", at positions 56 to 1079 of the family's 1533-position model. Lineage: Bacteria; Pseudomonadati; Pseudomonadota; Gammaproteobacteria; Enterobacterales; Enterobacteriaceae. The record is from RNAcentral.